Molecule: ribosomal RNA, 492 nt
Filed under: uncultured bacterium
Lineage: Bacteria
Description: partial 16S ribosomal RNA
Rfam family: Bacterial small subunit ribosomal RNA
Source: RNAcentral
AGUGAACGCUGGCGGUAGGCCUAACACAUGCAAGUCGAACGGCAGCACAGUAAGAGCUUGCUCUUACGGGUGGCGAGUGGCGGACGGGUGAGGAAUACAUCGGAAUCUGCUUUUUCGUGGGGGAUAACGUAGGGAAACUUACGCUAAUACCGCAUACGACCUACGGGUGAAAGCAGGGGAUCUUCGGACCUUGCGCGAUUGAAUGAGCCGAUGUCGGAUUAGCUAGUUGGCGGGGUAAAGGCCCACCAAGGCGACGAUCCGUAGCUGGUCUGAGAGGGUGAUCAGCCACACUGGAACUGAGACACGGUCCAGACUCCUACGGGAGGCAGCAGUGGGGAAUAUUGGACAAUGGGCGCAAGCCUGAUCCAGCCAUACCGCGUGGGUGAAGAAGGCCUUCGGGUUGUAAAGCCCUUUUGUUGGGAAAGAAAAGCAGCAGGUUAAUACCCCGCUGUUCUGACGGUACCCAAAGAAUAAGCACCGGCUAACUUCGUG